CUUGGUCAUUUAGAGGAAGUAAAAGUCGUAACAAGGUUUCCGUAGGUGAACCUGCGGAAGGAUCAUUAAAGAAAUUUAAUAAUUUUGAAAAUGGAUUUUUUUGUUUUGGCAAGAGCAUGAGAGCUUUUACUGGGCAAGAAGACAAGAGAUGGAGAGUCCAGCCGGGCCUGCGCUUAAGUGCGCCGUUCUUGUUAGGCUUGUAAGUUUCUUUCUUGCUAUUCCAAACGGUGAGAGAUUUCUGUGCUUUUGUUAUAGGACAAUUAAAACCGUUUCAAUACAACACACUGUGGAGUUUUCAUAUCUUUGCAACUUUUUCUUUGGGCAUUCGAGCAAUCGGGGCCCAGAGGUAACAAACACAAACAAUUUUAUCUAUUCAUUAAAUUUUUGUCAAAAACAAGAAUUUUCGUAACUGGAAAUUUUAAAAUAUUAAAAACUUUCAACAACGGAUCUCUUGGUUCUCGCAUCGAUGAAGAACGCAGCGAAAUGCGAUACGUAAUGUGAAUUGCAGAAUUCCGUGAAUCAUCGAAUCUUUGAACGCACAUUGCGCCCCUUGGUAUUCCAGGGGGCAUGCCUGUUUGAGCGUCAUUUCCUUCUCAAACAUUCUGUUUGGUAGUGGGUGAUACUCUUUGGAGUUAACUUGAAAUUGCUGGCCUUUUCAUUGGAUGUUUUUUUUCCAAAGAGAGGUUUCUCUGCGUGCUUGAGGUAUAAUGCAAGUACGGUCGUUUUAGGUUUUACCAACUGCGGCUAAUCUUUUUUUAUACUGAGCGUAUUGGAACGUUAUCGAUAAGAAGAGAGCGUCUAGGCGAACAAUGUUCUUAAAGUUUGACCUCAAAUCAGGUAGGAGUACCCGCUGAACUUAAGCAUAUCAAUAAGCGGAG
RNAcentral lists this ribosomal RNA (878 nucleotides) under uncultured fungus. RNAcentral's name for it is "eukaryotic LSU rRNA". The stretch from base 432 to 585 matches the Rfam family "5.8S ribosomal RNA". The record is from RNAcentral. Lineage: Eukaryota; Fungi.